RNAcentral lists this ribosomal RNA (522 nucleotides) under uncultured bacterium. Its description in RNAcentral is "bacterial SSU rRNA". It matches the Rfam family "Bacterial small subunit ribosomal RNA", at positions 777 to 1304 of the family's 1533-position model. The record is from RNAcentral.
AAUAGAUACCCCGGUAGUCCACGCCGUAAACGAUGGAUACUAGCUGUUUGAGCGCAAGUUUGAGUGGCUAAGCGAAAGUGAUAAGUAUCCCACCUGGGGAGUACGGGCGCAAGCCUGAAACUCAAAGGAAUUGACGGGGGCCCGCACAAGCGGUGGAGCAUGUGGUUUAAUUCGAUGAUACGCGAGGAACCUUACCAGGGCUUAAAUGUAGAUUGACGUAUUUGGAAACAGAUAUUUCUUCGGACAAUUUACAAGGUGCUGCAUGGUUGUCGUCAGCUCGUGCCGUGAGGUGUCAGGUUAAGUCCUAUAACGAGCGCAACCCCUGUUGUUAGUUGCCAGCGAGUAAUGUCGGGAACUCUAGCAAGACUGCCAGUGUAAACUGUGAGGAAGGUGGGGAUGACGUCAAAUCAUCACGGCCCUUACGUCCUGGGCCACACACGUGCUACAAUGGCCGGUACAGAGAGCAGCCACUUAGCGAUAAGGAGCGAAUCUAUAAAAGCCGGUCACAGUUCGGAUCGGAGU